RNAcentral lists this ribosomal RNA (305 nucleotides) under uncultured bacterium. RNAcentral's name for it is "partial 16S ribosomal RNA". It matches the Rfam family "Bacterial small subunit ribosomal RNA", at positions 505 to 807 of the family's 1533-position model. The record is from RNAcentral.
ACAGCAGUCGCCACGGUAAUACAGAGGGUGCGAGCGUUAAUCGGAUUUACUGGGCGUAAAGCGUGCGUAGGCGGCUUCUUAAGUCGGAUGUGAAAUCCCUGAGCUUAACUUAGGAAUUGCAUUCGAUACUGGGAAGCUAGAGUAUGGGAGAGGAUGGUAGAAUUCCAGGUGUAGCGGUGAAAUGCGUAGAGAUCUGGAGGAAUACCGAUGGCGAAGGCAGCCAUCUGGCCUAAUACUGACGCUGAGGUACGAAAGCAUGGGGAGCAAACAGGAUUAGAGACCCCCGUAGUCCCUGUCUCUUAUAC